Molecule: unclassified non-coding RNA, 308 nt
Filed under: plant metagenome
Description: partial contains 5.8S ribosomal RNA, internal transcribed spacer 2, and large subunit ribosomal RNA
Rfam family: 5.8S ribosomal RNA (bases 1-104)
Source: RNAcentral
AAAUGCGAUAAGUAGUGUGAAUUGCAGAAUUCAGUGAAUCAUCGAAUCUUUGAACGCACAUUGCGCCCCUUGGUAUUCCAUGGGUCAUGCCUGUUCGAGCGUCAUUUGUACCCUCAAGCUCUGCUUGGUGUUGGGUGUUUGUCCCGUCUCCGCGCGUGGACUCGCCCCAAAGUGAUUGGCAGCCGGCGUACUGGUCCCGGAGCGCAGCACAUGUCGCGCAAACGAGUGCCUUGGUACGGCGGCGUCCAUAAGCCCCUCUCUCACGCUCUUGACCUCGGAUCAGGUAGGGAUACCCGCUGAACUUAAGC